AGUGAACGCUGGCGGUAGGCCUAACACAUGCAAGUCGAACGGCAGCACAGUAAGAGCUUGCUCUUACGGGUGGCGAGUGGCGGACGGGUGAGGAAUACAUCGGAAUCUACUUUUUCGUGGGGGAUAACGUAGGUAAACUUACGCUAAUACCGCAUACGACCUACGGGUGAAAGCAUGGGAUCUUCGGACCUUGCGCGAUUGAAUGAGCCGAUGUCGGAUUAGCUAGUUGGCGGGGUAAAGGCCCACCAAGGCGACGAUCCGUAGCUGGUCUGAGAGAAUGAUCAGCAACACUGGAACUGAGACACGGUCCAGACUCCUACGGGAGGCAGCAGUGGGGAAUAUUGGACAAUGGGCGCAAGCCUGAUCCAGCCAUACCGCGUGGGUGAAGAAGGCCUUCGGGUUGUAAAGCCCUUUUGUUGGGAAAGAAAAGCAGCAGGUUAAUACCCCGCUGUUCUGACGGUACCCAAAGAAUAAGCACCGGCUAACUUCGUG
RNAcentral lists this ribosomal RNA (492 nucleotides) under uncultured bacterium. RNAcentral describes it as "partial 16S ribosomal RNA". It matches the Rfam family "Bacterial small subunit ribosomal RNA", at positions 29 to 507 of the family's 1533-position model. The record is from RNAcentral.